This 2930-nucleotide ribosomal RNA is filed under the name Serratia marcescens. Its description in RNAcentral is "bacterial LSU rRNA". It matches the Rfam family "Bacterial large subunit ribosomal RNA". The record is from RNAcentral. Lineage: Bacteria; Pseudomonadati; Pseudomonadota; Gammaproteobacteria; Enterobacterales; Yersiniaceae.
GGGUUGUGAGGUUAAGUGACUAAGCGUACACGGUGGAUGCCUAGGCAGUCAGAGGCGAUGAAGGGCGUGCUAAUCUGCGAAAAGCGUCGGUAAGGUGAUAUGAACCGUUACAACCGGCGAUACCCGAAUGGGGAAACCCAGUGUGUUUCGACACACUAUCAUGUCAUGAAUACAUAGUGGCAUGAGGCGAACCGGGGGAACUGAAACAUCUAAGUACCCCGAGGAAAAGAAAUCAACCGAGAUUCCCCCAGUAGCGGCGAGCGAACGGGGAGGAGCCCAGAACCUGAAUCGGCUUGUGUGUUAGUGGAAGCGUCUGGAAAGUCGCGCAGCAAGGGUGAUAGCCCCGUACACUAAAAUGCACAGGUCGUGAGUUCGAUGAGUAGGGCGGGACACGUGACAUCCUGUCUGAAUAUGGGGACCAUCCUCCAAGGCUAAAUACUCCUGACUGACCGAUAGUGAACCAGUACCGUGAGGAAAGGCGAAAAGAACCCCGGCGAGGGGAGUGAAAUAGAACCUGAAACCGUGUACGUACAAGCAGUGGGAGCACCUUCGUGGUGUGACUGCGUACCUUUUGUAUAAUGGGUCAGCGACUUAUAUUUUGUAGCAAGGUUAACCGUAUAGGGGAGCCGUAGGAAACCGAGUCUUAACUGGGCGAAUAGUUGCAAGGUAUAGACCCGAAACCCGGUGAUCUAGCCAUGGGCAGGUUGAAGGUUGGGUAACACUAACUGGAGGACCGAACCGACUAAUGUUGAAAAAUUAGCGGAUGACUUGUGGCUGGGGGUGAAAGGCCAAUCAAACCGGGAGAUAGCUGGUUCUCCCGAAAGCUAUUUAGGUAGCGCCUCGUGAACUCAUCUUCGGGGGUAGAGCACUGUUUCGGCUAGGGGGCCAUCCCGGCUUACCAAACCGAUGCAAACUCCGAAUACCGAAGAAUGUUAUCACGGGAGACACACGGCGGGUGCUAACGUCCGUCGUGAAGAGGGAAACAACCCAGACCGCCAGCUAAGGUCCCAAAGUCAUGGUUAAGUGGGAAACGAUGUGGGAAGGCAUAGACAGCCAGGAUGUUGGCUUAGAAGCAGCCAUCAUUUAAAGAAAGCGUAAUAGCUCACUGGUCGAGUCGGCCUGCGCGGAAGAUGUAACGGGGCUAAACCAUGCACCGAAGCUGCGGCAGCGACGCUUAGGCGUUGUUGGGUAGGGGAGCGUUCUGUAAGCCGUUGAAGGUGGCCUGUGAGGGUUGCUGGAGGUAUCAGAAGUGCGAAUGCUGACAUAAGUAACGAUAAAGCGGGUGAAAAGCCCGCUCGCCGGAAGACCAAGGGUUCCUGUCCAACGUUAAUCGGGGCAGGGUGAGUCGACCCCUAAGGCGAGGCUGAAAAGCGUAGUCGAUGGGAAACAGGUUAAUAUUCCUGUACUUGGUGUUACUGCGAAGGGGACGGAGAAGGCUAGGCUAGCCGGGCGACGGUUGUCCCGGUUUAAGCGUGUAGGGGGUGUGACCUGGUAAAUCCGGUUACAUACUAACCCUGAGGCGUGAUGACGAUGCACUACGGUGCAGAAGUAGUUGAUGCCCUGCUUCCAGGAAAAGCCUCUAAGCUCUAGGUAACAUUGAAUCGUACCCCAAACCGACACAGGUGGUCAGGUAGAGAAUACCAAGGCGCUUGAGAGAACUCGGGUGAAGGAACUAGGCAAAAUGGUGCCGUAACUUCGGGAGAAGGCACGCUGGCAUGUAGGUGAAGUCCCUUGCGGAUGGAGCUGAAGCCAGUCGAAGAUACCAGCUGGCUGCAACUGUUUAAUAAAAACACAGCACUGUGCAAACACGAAAGUGGACGUAUACGGUGUGACGCCUGCCCGGUGCUGGAAGGUUAAUUGAUGGGGUCAGCCGCAAGGCGAAGCUCUUGAUCGAAGCCCCAGUAAACGGCGGCCGUAACUAUAACGGUCCUAAGGUAGCGAAAUUCCUUGUCGGGUAAGUUCCGACCUGCACGAAUGGCGUAAUGAUGGCCAGGCUGUCUCCACCCGAGACUCAGUGAAAUUGAACUCGCUGUGAAGAUGCAGUGUACCCGCGGCAAGACGGAAAGACCCCGUGAACCUUUACUAUAGCUUGACACUGAACAUUGAGCCUUGAUGUGUAGGAUAGGUGGGAGGCUUUGAAGCGUGGACGCCAGUCUGCGUGGAGCCAUCCUUGAAAUACCACCCUUUAAUGUUUGAUGUUCUAACUCGGCCCCAUAAUCUGGGGUGAGGACAGUGUCUGGUGGGUAGUUUGACUGGGGCGGUCUCCUCCCAAAGAGUAACGGAGGAGCACGAAGGUUAGCUAAUCACGGUCGGACAUCGUGAGGUUAGUGCAAAGGCAUAAGCUAGCUUGACUGCGAGAGUGACGGCUCGAGCAGGUACGAAAGUAGGUCUUAGUGAUCCGGUGGUUCUGAAUGGAAGGGCCAUCGCUCAACGGAUAAAAGGUACUCCGGGGAUAACAGGCUGAUACCGCCCAAGAGUUCAUAUCGACGGCGGUGUUUGGCACCUCGAUGUCGGCUCAUCACAUCCUGGGGCUGAAGUAGGUCCCAAGGGUAUGGCUGUUCGCCAUUUAAAGUGGUACGCGAGCUGGGUUUAGAACGUCGUGAGACAGUUCGGUCCCUAUCUGCCGUGGGCGUUGGAAGAUUGAGAGGGGUUGCUCCUAGUACGAGAGGACCGGAGUGAACGCACCACUGGUGUUCGGGUUGUCAUGCCAAUGGCAUUGCCCGGUAGCUAAGUGCGGAAAAGAUAAGCGCUGAAAGCAUCUAAGCGCGAAACUUGCCUCAAGAUGAGUCUUCCCUGGGCCUUUAAGGCCCCUGAAGGAACGUUUAAGACUAAGACGUUGAUAGGCUGGGUGUGUAAGUGCAGCGAUGCAUUGAGCUAACCAGUACUAAUGAUCCGUGAGGCUUAACCUUACAACACCGAAGGUGUUUUAG